Molecule: transfer RNA, 74 nt
Filed under: Pseudoxanthomonas taiwanensis J19
Lineage: Bacteria; Pseudomonadati; Pseudomonadota; Gammaproteobacteria; Lysobacterales; Lysobacteraceae
Also listed under: 1 other name
Description: tRNA-Arg
Rfam family: tRNA
About the family: Transfer RNA (tRNA) molecules are approximately 80 nucleotides in length. Their secondary structure includes four short double-helical elements and three loops (D, anti-codon, and T loops).
Source: RNAcentral
GGCCCCGUAGCUCAGCUGGAUAGAGCGUCCCCCUCCUAAGGGGAAGGUCGCACGUUCGAAUCGUGUCGGGGCUG